Molecule: long non-coding RNA, 1281 nt
Organism: Alosa sapidissima (American shad)
Lineage: Eukaryota; Metazoa; Chordata; Actinopteri; Clupeiformes; Clupeidae
Exons: 5
Source: RefSeq, a predicted model, not a curated record
AGUCUCACGUCUGAACGUGUCACUGUCACGUUAAUUAAUCUAUUGGGACGUGUUGUGUAACACGUUUCCUUGUUAAAAAACGUGUUGAGCAGGACGUAAUUAUCGUGUUACUAUCACGUUGUAUUUCGCAUUCAAUGAGCCAACAGAACCACGUCAUCUGUCAAAAAAGCCCGACCCAAAAUGGCCAGAAUGUUAUUUGAUGCUUUUGACGUGCAGUUUCAUACUCUUAAGCCUGCUUUGAGUUGUGGGUUAGAAGGAGCCACCUUCUAGCUAGCAGUUUUAGAAGGCUGAACCCCAGAAUCCAGAAACAAGAACCGAGCAGGGACGGAGAAAAAAGAAGAAUCCAAAUGGGAAAUGAGAUAAGGCCUCUUCAUUUUCAACUGUGAAGGAUCUACAUGGACUUGGUCUGGAUAGCCUUUCCUGUUUUGAUGAGCCAGUCGGGUCUAGAGGGAAAACCCUAUAUGAGCCCCAGGAUCCUUGCUCCUGAUAUCCUGAUGUAUGGGUUGCACUUCAUUAUAUGACUCCAACAGAACACUCACAGAAAGGAGAGUGAUGCCAAACUACAAGACAGCCAGCAUAUCCUCGCUCCUGAUAUCCUGAUGUAUGCAUUCCAUUUCAUUAUAUGACUCCAACAGGACACCUACACAAAGGAGCUGUUAAAGCAGUGUCCUUCUACAAACAACAAGACAGCGAGCAUGUAAACAAGGCCUUGUUUGUCCACUUCCUGAAGGGGCUGAAGCAUGCUGGCCUUGACACCUCAGUCCUUGCUUCCAUUUACAGCUGUGUUGUGGAGCGCAUUCUCACAUCCUAUGGUCUGCAGCGGGUGGUGUCAUCGCGUUAUUUAUCAUCGUUUGUGUAAAUCUUACACAUCUUACACAAAAGUCUAAAAUAAUCUAAACUUCAUUUACUCUCCAUGUAUAGAUCAAGAUAGACUUGCAGAACAGGCUGCAGGGCAACAGUCUGAUAGCCUGCAUGAAAGCAUAAAUGGUCCGCACUUGUUAAAGAGUGCAAUUAUCAAAGGGCAUUGAUAUUGUGUUUUUUUAAACCAAGGAGGAUGGCUGUAGCGAUGCUGUCAGCUCUGCCAUAAGCAGUGACUGUGAUUACGUUUGCACAUUUUGAAAAUGUUGUUUUUCUUUCUUUUGCAUUCUUUUCCACUUCAUUGUUGUAUAGUUUGUAUAAUGUUUGUUAAAGUUGCACACAUUAAUUCACUGUUCUUAUUUGUAAAAAAUUGUAUAGUGUGGUAUAGUUUGUAUGGUGGAGUCUUUAUUGUAUCGUACAAAC